Molecule: transfer RNA, 89 nt
Organism: Chaetura pelagica (chimney swift)
Lineage: Eukaryota; Metazoa; Chordata; Aves; Apodiformes; Apodidae
Rfam family: tRNA
About the family: Transfer RNA (tRNA) molecules are approximately 80 nucleotides in length. Their secondary structure includes four short double-helical elements and three loops (D, anti-codon, and T loops).
Source: Rfam
CCUUCGAUAGCUCAGCUGGUAGAGCGGAGGACUGUAGCACUUUCCCUGCGGUGAUCCUUAGGUCGCUGGUUCGAUUCCGGCUCGAAGGA